AAUCAACGCUGGCGGCGUGCCUAAUACAUGCAAGUCGAACGCGAAAGUCCCGCAAGGGAUGAGUAGAGUGGCAAACGGGUGAGUAACGCGUGGGUGACCUGCCUUCGAGUGGGGGAUAACGUUUCGAAAGGAACGCUAAUACCGCAUGACAUCCUGCCUUUUAAGAGGCGGAGAUCAAAGCUGGGGAUCGCAAGACCUAGCGCUUGAAGAGGGGCCCGCGUCCGAUUAGCUAGUUGGUGGGGUAAUGGCUCACCAAGGCAUCGAUCGGUAACCGGCCUGAGAGGGCGGACGGUCACACUGGGACUGAGACACGGCCCAGACUCCUACGGGAGGCAGCAGGUGGGGAAUCUUGCGCAAGUGGGACGAAAGCCUGACGCAGCGACGCCGCGU
Molecule: ribosomal RNA, 390 nt
Filed under: uncultured bacterium
Lineage: Bacteria
Description: bacterial SSU rRNA
Rfam family: Bacterial small subunit ribosomal RNA
Source: RNAcentral